CAGAGAACAUCGCCCUCACGGGGGUGACUCUCCAACCCUUAUGUUAUUAAACCUUUGUUGCUUUGGCGAGCCGCCCCGGCCACCGGCUUUCCGCUGGUGAGUGCUCGCCAGAGGACCCCAAACUCUGUUUAUUAGUGUCGUCUGAGUACUAUGUAUAAUAGUUA
RNAcentral lists this unclassified non-coding RNA (164 nucleotides) under uncultured Xenopolyscytalum. Its description in RNAcentral is "sequence contains ITS1". Lineage: Eukaryota; Fungi; Ascomycota; Leotiomycetes; Helotiales. The record is from RNAcentral.